CCUACGGGGGGCUGCAGUAGGGAAUAUUGCUCAAUGGGGGAAACCCUGAAGCAGCAACGCCGCGUGGAGGAUGAAGGUUUUCGGAUUGUAACCUCCUUUUGUUAGAGAAGAUAAUGACGGUAUCUAACGAAUAAGCACCGGCUAACUCCGUGCAAGCAGCCGCGGUAAUACGGAGGGUGCAAGCGUUACUCGGAACCACUGGGCGUAAAGAGCGCGUAGGCGGGAUAGCAAGUCAGAUGUGAAAUCCUAUGGCUUAACCAUAGAACUGCAUUUGAAACUGUUAUUCUAGAGUGUGGGAGAGGUAGGUGGAAUUCUUGGUGUAGGGGUAAAAUCCGUAGAGAUCAAGAGGAAUACUCAUUGCGAAGGCGACCUGCUAGAACAUAACUGACGCUGAUGCGCGAAAGCGUGGGUAGCAAACAGGAUUAGAUACCCUAGUAGUC
RNAcentral lists this ribosomal RNA (440 nucleotides) under uncultured bacterium. Its description in RNAcentral is "partial 16S ribosomal RNA". It matches the Rfam family "Bacterial small subunit ribosomal RNA", at positions 338 to 795 of the family's 1533-position model. The record is from RNAcentral.